Long non-coding RNA from Rhipicephalus sanguineus (brown dog tick), 1573 nucleotides. RefSeq lists it as uncharacterized. The record is from RefSeq and is a predicted model, not a curated record. The transcript has 2 exons. Lineage: Eukaryota; Metazoa; Arthropoda; Arachnida; Ixodida; Ixodidae.
UUGUCGCGAAAAUUUAUCAAAAACAAAAUAAUGCUAAAUUCAAGUCUUUGAGGCUAUUUUUUAUUUACUAGCGAUAAACAAAUUUAAAUCUCAAGUUCAAUUUUCAAAUGAAUCUGCAAAGACGUCAAACUAGUCAAACCGCCAUUUAUUGUUGCGAGGCCACGACAAGCCAAGUUAAGCCAAGCACGUGCAAAAAAUCGUGUGACACAAGCGUAGCAAUCCGAAGGCAACGUUCAGCGUAGCGGUGCUCUUGUAUCGUGUUUUGUGAAAUUUAAGAACUCGACCUUCGCUCAGCAAGUGGUUGCUGACCGAGUGUUGCUCGCAGCUUCGAAAUGAAGUCGUUUUUAAAUCGCCUGUACAAGAAGAUCAAGUGGUAUUACUUCAUGUACGAUCUCCACACGUCCCUCUACAUGUUGGAGUCUUGGGAGAAAAGGGUAUUCAAUAUCGGGCUUGUAGCCGUGGUUGCCAUGUCGAGCUACACGACCUACGUAUUUUUGCCACGGUACACGCAAAAUGUGCUGCGUUACUUCGGUGUGGUCGAGUAGGCGACUGCAUUAGGAGCGACGGCGUCACCAUCAAGUAUCCGUGUCGACCCAUCGAUUUCACAAGUCGCCAGGAGGGCUAGAAAAUGCGGCGGAUCGCUGCUACUCCUGGCUGUCUAACGACGCUUCUUCAAGAAGAGAUUGUACAGCUCACGCUUGGUACUGCCCUAGAAAUGAAGUAGAGCGUUUGAGAGAGUCAACUGCUCUGUCGUAAUGGACAGUUUUAGAAUAGGUUUCGUAGCGUUUUCGUAACUUAGCGUGCCUACCCCAAGACGUUAGCAUAUGACGCGUGCGCAGUGGCGACGAAACGCUAAGGCAAAGCUUUACGUAACCCAUUCUAAAACUGUCUAUAAUCCAGCAUCGCCACCACAUUUGGAAUUUUCACCUUUGGUUAUAGAGAAACUGCUGAAGCAAUGCACGGGAUUUCUUCAUGUUCCUAUGUUUCGUUCUUGUGUAACUUUUUUUUUUCCUCAUUCCGUUACGGAGCAAAUGAGCAAGGGGCCACAAAUUUCUGUGCACAAAUCUCGUCACUUUUCGCUUGUGGGACGAUUUGAUCAGACUUGUGUGAAGUCUUAGUUUGAGCACUGGUUUAUUUAGAUGUGCUGGGAACCAUCUUUAUUGAUCAACUUCUAUGUCGGAUAGACUGCGCCGAUUUUGCUGUGACAGUCAUACUAUCCGUUGCCUGUUAAAUGGUCGACACACUGCCAGUGUGGCUGACACUUUGCACGAAUGUGCCACACCUUUCGUUGUUAGGCAUGUUGGUAAAACGAAAAUAGUGUGACCUUUCCCAUGUUUACCUUCCAAGUGUCGCGUUUAUUGCAAUAAGUAUCUGUGUACCUUGGUUGGGCUUAUAGUUUUGUAGAGUUGAUUUUGUAGCAGAGAAAACUGAAAUUGAUGAGUGCGAUUAAACAUCACAAAUGGCAAGUAAGUUGGAUUAGCCCGUUAACACAUGUUAAGUGUACUUUUGUAAUGGUUCACGAAUGCGUUUUCAUAGAAGCGACAGAAUAAAAUUUGUUUUUAUGCCUUUGUAA